UACGUAGGGCGCAAGCGUUGUCCGGAAUUAUUGGGCGUAAAGAGCUCGUAGGUGGUUUGUCGCGUCUGUCGUGAAAGCCCGGGGCUUAACUCCGGGUCUGCGGUGGAUACGGGCAGACUAGAGGCAGGUAGGGGAGAACGGAAUUCCCGGUGUAGCGGUGAAAUGCGCAGAUAUCGGGAAGAACACCCGUGGCGAAGGCGGCUCUCUGGAACGCAACUGACGCUGAGACGCGAAAGCGUGGGGAGCAAACAGG
RNAcentral lists this ribosomal RNA (253 nucleotides) under uncultured bacterium. RNAcentral's name for it is "partial 16S ribosomal RNA". It matches the Rfam family "Bacterial small subunit ribosomal RNA", at positions 524 to 776 of the family's 1533-position model. The record is from RNAcentral.